UACGAAGGGGGCUAGCGUUGUUCGGAAUUACUGGGCGUAAAGAGCGUGUAGGCGGCCAGAUAGGUCUGCUGUGAAAACUCGAGGCUCAACCUCGAGAUGUCGGCGGAAACCAUUUGGCUAGAGUCCGGAAGAGGAAAGUGGAAUUCCUGGUGUAGCGGUGAAAUGCGCAGAUAUCAGGAGGAACACCGGUGGCGAAGGCGGGUCUCUGGGCAGUAACUGACGCUGAGGAGCGAAAGCGUGGGGAGCGAACAGG
Molecule: ribosomal RNA, 253 nt
Filed under: uncultured bacterium
Lineage: Bacteria
Description: partial 16S ribosomal RNA
Rfam family: Bacterial small subunit ribosomal RNA
Source: RNAcentral